AACGCGAAAGCCCCUUCGGGGGUAAGUAGAGUGGCGUCCGGGUGAGUAACACGUAGGUAAUCUGCCUUCGGGUGGGGAAUAACACCUCGAAAGAGGUGCUAAUACCGCAUAAUGCAGCGGCACCUAAUGGUGAUUAGUUGUUAAAGCGGGGGACCGCAAGGCCUCGCGCCUGAAGAGGAGCCUGCGGCAGAUUAGCUAGUUGGUGAGGUAAUGGCUCACCAAGGCUUCGAUCUGUAGCUGGUCUGAGAGGACGGCCAGCCACACUGGCACUGACACACGGGCCAGACUCCUACGGGAGGCAGCAGUGGGGAAUUUUGGGCAAUGGGCGAAAGCCUGACCCAGCAACGCCGCGUGAGGGAGGAAAUCCUUCGGGAUGUAAACCUCACAAGCAAGGGAAGAGCGCGAGGGGGCAAAUAACCCUCUCGUCCGACGGUACCUUGCGUAAGCCACGGCUAACUACGUGCCAGCAGCCGCGGUAAUACGUAGGUGGCAAGCGUUGUUCGGAAUUAUUGGGCGUAAAGGGCGCGUAGGCGGUCGGUUAAGUCAGUUGUGAAAGCCCGGGGCUCAACCCCGGAGGGUCGACUGAUACUGAUUGACUAGAGUACGGAAGAGGUAGCUGGAAUUCCCGGUGUAGCGGUGAAAUGCGUAGAUAUCGGGAGGAACACCUGAGGCGAAGGCGGGCUACUGGGCCGAUACUGACGCUGAGGCGCGAAAGCCAGGGGAGCGAACGGGAUUAGAUACCCCGGUUAGUCCUGGCCCUAAACGAUGGACACUUGGUGUGUCGG
This 785-nucleotide ribosomal RNA is filed under the name uncultured Actinomycetes bacterium. Its description in RNAcentral is "bacterial SSU rRNA". It matches the Rfam family "Bacterial small subunit ribosomal RNA", at positions 65 to 828 of the family's 1533-position model. The record is from RNAcentral. Lineage: Bacteria; Bacillati; Actinomycetota; Actinomycetes.